This 127-nucleotide microRNA precursor is filed under the name Fukomys damarensis (Damara mole-rat). Its description in RNAcentral is "miRNA (ENSFDAG00000004067.1)". The record is from RNAcentral. Lineage: Eukaryota; Metazoa; Chordata; Mammalia; Rodentia; Bathyergidae.
GGUCUCACUGUGUAGUUGAGACUGACCUGGAACUCACUUUGUAGCCCAGGCUGGUCUCGGGCUCACAGCAAUCCUCCUGCCUCAGCCUCCCGAGUGCUAGGAUUACAGGCAUGUGCCACCUUGCCCG